RNAcentral lists this small RNA (108 nucleotides) under Marmota monax (woodchuck). Lineage: Eukaryota; Metazoa; Chordata; Mammalia; Rodentia; Sciuridae. The record is from RNAcentral.
GCCGGGCGUGGUGGUGCAUGCCUGUAAUCCCAGCAGCUCGGGAGGCUGAGACAGGAGGAUCAUGAGAAAAAGAGAGGCACCAAGCAAUUCAGUGAAAUCCUGUCUCUA